CACUAAAACAGUGUUGCUUCUGAAAGGACUUUUCACACAUCAACAGUCCUGAACUUGUAUUUCCCUACUCAUCAGAAAUUACUUGAAAAAAUCCUGUUUCUAAUUAGUUCAGCUGCCUUUUGUCCUUAAUAUCAGUGUUACUUAUAUUAGUU
Molecule: long non-coding RNA, 152 nt
Organism: Oxyura jamaicensis (ruddy duck)
Lineage: Eukaryota; Metazoa; Chordata; Aves; Anseriformes; Anatidae
Exons: 3
Source: RefSeq, a predicted model, not a curated record